RNAcentral lists this ribosomal RNA (253 nucleotides) under uncultured bacterium. RNAcentral's name for it is "partial 16S ribosomal RNA". It matches the Rfam family "Bacterial small subunit ribosomal RNA", at positions 524 to 776 of the family's 1533-position model. The record is from RNAcentral.
CACGUAGGGCGCGAGCGUUGUCCGGAAUUAUUGGGCGUAAAGAGCUCGUAGGCGGCCUGUUGCGUCCGCUGUGAAAGCCCGGGGCUUAACCCCGGGUCUGCAGUGGAUACGGGCAGGCUAGAGGUAGGUAGGGGAGAAUGGAAUUCCCGGUGUAGCGGUGAAAUGCGCAGAUAUCGGGAGGAACACCGGCGGCGAAGGCGGUUCUCUGGGCCUUACCUGACGCUGAGGAGCGAAAGCGUGGGGAGCGAACAGG